UAAUACGUACCCGUACCGUAAACCGACACAGGUAGAUGAGGAGAAAAUCCACAGGCCGACGGGAGAAGUGUUGUUAAGGAACUCGGCAAAAUGACCCCGUAACUUAGGGAGAAGGGGAGCCACGCAAGUGGCCGCAGAAAAGAGGCUCAAGCGACUGUUUAGCAAAAACACAGGUCUCUGCGAAACCGAAAGGUGAAGUAUAGGGGCUGACACCUGCCCGGUGCUGGAAGGUUAAAAGGAGAGGUUCGGCGCAAGCCAAAGCUUUGAAUUCAAGCCCCAGUAAACGGCGGCCGUAACUAUAACGGUCCUAAGG
This 313-nucleotide ribosomal RNA is filed under the name Anaerotignum lactatifermentans. RNAcentral describes it as "partial 23S ribosomal RNA". It matches the Rfam family "Bacterial large subunit ribosomal RNA", at positions 1632 to 1956 of the family's 2925-position model. The record is from RNAcentral. Lineage: Bacteria; Bacillati; Bacillota; Clostridia; Lachnospirales; Anaerotignaceae.